This 719-nucleotide ribosomal RNA is filed under the name uncultured Pseudomonadota bacterium. Its description in RNAcentral is "bacterial SSU rRNA". It matches the Rfam family "Bacterial small subunit ribosomal RNA", at positions 44 to 752 of the family's 1533-position model. Lineage: Bacteria; Pseudomonadati; Pseudomonadota. The record is from RNAcentral.
AGGCCUAACACAUGCAAGUCGAACGGUAACAGGAAGAAGCUUGCUUCUUUGCUGACGAGUGGCGGACGGGUGAGUAAUGUCUGGGAAACUGCCUGAUGGAGGGGGAUAACUACUGGAAACGGUAGCUAAUACCGCAUAACGUCGCAAGACCAAAGAGGGGGACCUUCGGGCCUCUUGCCAUCGGAUGUGCCCAGAUGGGAUUAGCUAGUAGGUGGGGUAACGGCUCACCUAGGCGACGAUCCCUAGCUGGUCUGAGAGGAUGACCAGCCACACUGGAACUGAGACACGGUCCAGACUCCUACGGGAGGCAGCAGUGGGGAAUAUUGCACAAUGGGCGCAAGCCUGAUGCAGCCAUGCCGCGUGUAUGAAGAAGGCCUUCGGGUUGUAAAGUACUUUCAGCGGGGAGGAAGGGAGUAAAGUUAAUACCUUUGCUCAUUGACGUUACCCGCAGAAGAAGCACCGGCUAACUCCGUGCCAGCAGCCGCGGUAAUACGGAGGGUGCAAGCGUUAAUCGGAAUUACUGGGCGUAGAGCGCACGCAGGCGGUUUGUUAAGUCAGAUGUGAAAUCCCCGGGCUCAACCUGGGAACUGCAUCUGAUACUGGCAAGCUUGAGUCUCGUAGAGGGGGGUAGAAUUCCAGGUGUAGCGGUGAAAUGCGUAGAGAUCUGGAGGAAUACCGGUGGCGAAGGCGGCCCCCUGGACGAAGACUGACGCUCAGGU